GGAUGCAUCAAUGGAGAAGAAGGCAAUUGUAAUCACAAUACAAUAAUAGAUCUACAAAUACCAAGCAAUACAUUAAAUCAAAAAUCUCAGUAACACUGUUAUUAUGUACUCCCUGUGGUCUUAUUAAUGUCAGCUUAUGGAUAGCUCGAUUACCAGUCAAAUAGUUUCGAUGUUUUCUAUACUAUGAAGAAAAUUUGAUCUGAUUAGAUUAAUUCAGAUGUAAAUUUAUGUUAUACGGUAAGAUAUUUUUAAACAAACCAAGAAAGUUCUCUUCAGACAAGUUCUGGUCUGAAACUGCAAAUAUUAACGAAAAAGUUAUACAUGUAGUUUUCUAUUCAUAAAUGAUAUUAUUGAUUUUA
RNAcentral lists this long non-coding RNA (359 nucleotides) under Sitophilus oryzae (rice weevil). RNAcentral describes it as "uncharacterized LOC115877981". The record is from RNAcentral. Lineage: Eukaryota; Metazoa; Arthropoda; Insecta; Coleoptera; Curculionidae.